UAAAUCCUACGGGGCGCAGCAGUGAGGAAUAUUGGUCAAUGGUCGGGAGACUGGACCAGCCAAGCCGCGUGAGGGAUGAAGGCACAGAGUAUCGUAAACCUCUUUUGUCAGGGAACAAAGGCGGGGACGCGUCCCCGGAUGAGUGUACCUGAAGAAAAAGCAUCGGCUAACUCCGUGCCAGCAGCCGCGGUAAUACGGAGGAUGCGAGCGUUAUCCGGAUUUAUUGGGUUUAAA
This 234-nucleotide ribosomal RNA is filed under the name uncultured bacterium. RNAcentral's name for it is "partial 16S ribosomal RNA". It matches the Rfam family "Bacterial small subunit ribosomal RNA", at positions 333 to 564 of the family's 1533-position model. The record is from RNAcentral.